This is a long non-coding RNA of Leopardus geoffroyi (Geoffroy's cat), 1187 nucleotides long. RefSeq lists it as uncharacterized. The record is from RefSeq and is a predicted model, not a curated record. The transcript is spliced from 3 exons. Lineage: Eukaryota; Metazoa; Chordata; Mammalia; Carnivora; Felidae.
UGGGUUUUCACUGAGGUGACAAUAGUGGUGUGACCCCCACCUUCCAGUUUGAGGCUCUACCCAGUAGCUCAAACUUCCUUUCUUUCGCCCCGACUUCACUCCACUUUGUCUUUUCAAAAUGGGGGUGCUUUGUCCACUCCCACUUUGUCAUGACCUCAAGGCCUGUCUUAGGUUGGCUUCCCCAGAAAGCAGACUUUGAGUGCAAAUAACUCAUCAAGUCGGUGCUCCCAGAGGUAACCUUAAGGGAGUAGGGGCAUCAGAACAGGGGAAAUAAGAAGGCCACACAAGGGUGAGGUCUCAGCAGUUCCACAGAGGCCAGCUUUAGACUGACCCUGCAGGGGGACCUGGAGCAUAUGAUUUGUCCCCACCUGAGGGGAAGGGAGCCUGGGGCACAGACAGGUAAGUGAGCAUGGCUCUGUUCACCAUCAUUCCUGGUGAUCUACUUGGGAGAAGUUGUGUUUCCCACUGGCCACAAUUUCCCCGGAUCUGUGGGUCUGGAGACACUAAUUUCCAGAAGAGAGACCACACUUUCAGCAAGAAACAUGGAAAGAGUUCCACUAAACCAAAAUCUCUGUAACCACUUGGUCAUUUGGGGGCCUCACAUACUGGGAAACCAUUGGGCAAAGAAAGGAGCUGCCAUCCUGGCAGGAAUAAUUAAGGGAAGUCUCUGUCCCUCUACCACGGGCCAGGCAGGAGUAGGUGUGGAACUCUGGGCAGCUCCAGGUUACUUCCAUGCCCAGUGUAACUAUGACCUGACAAUUCUAGCAAGCACCGCCAUGGUAACCAGGGACUCAGACUCCUCGAGGAUGAAGGGCCGGGUCACCCUGCCAGGGAACAACCAGUACCAGUGCCACCUAGCCAAAGGUGAGGGGUAGAGGAGGGCUAUGAGAAGAUCAAUUUCUUCUCCAAACCAGCUGUAGCAGCUAAGGCAGGUCCAGAGCCCUGAGGACCAUGCCAGAAGGAACCACAGGGCUCGCUUUGAAGCAAAAGCGUACCAAGGCCUGGGCACACAAGACAUGCCCAGAAACAGCAGUAAGAAAAGGAGAUCUAGAACAGCCAUCUUACAGACGUCAGAAGACGCCACCCCCCUCCCAUCCCCAGUUUCGGUUCUCAUUAGCUGUGUGGCUUUAGGUCAUUUCUUUUUUCUCUAUUGUCCUUGACAUCCUCAUUAAAGGGUCUCAAAGUUC